Sparus aurata (gilthead seabream) is the source of this 2076-nucleotide long non-coding RNA. Lineage: Eukaryota; Metazoa; Chordata; Actinopteri; Spariformes; Sparidae. The record is from Ensembl.
CUCACGUCUAAAUAUCAUGAAAGAGAUAUUAAUUAAACAGAAACCUUAUAAGGUCGAGCUUUAAUCAUGUACAAGUCAAAGUCUCAACACACCACCGACCCUUUGACGACCCUUGAUUCAGAGCGGCCGGUUGUGCUGUUUGUCCCUUUGUCCGCACCGUAGAAACAGGAAGUAAUAGACAGGCUCCAGCAAAAUAAAAACACAUUGGAACGAAAUUAUCUCCAAUUCAUAUUUGCCUCGAAAUGGACAGUGAAAAUCUAAAGUCAAUGAGCAACAAUUCAAGCUGCGUACUUUUUAACACUGAUCCAGACGACUAUCGAUGCGUGGUGAUUUUAACUGUAAAACGAGCCACAGGAACCUUCUCCUUAGUAGGAUGCCUUUUCAUGCUGUUUGUGAUCUGGCUGCUUCGCAGGUAUCACUCUUUGGCUCAGGGUGAGUCACAUCCAGAGGGAUCGCUUUGCAACUUUCAGGCCUGGUGGCUAACGUACUUUGACUGGAGUGCCUUGGCCUGGGUUUGCCUCAUCACACUGAACCUGUACCUCAACCUGGUCAGAGAAGUCAGCACCAGCCGAUAUGAGAUGUGAGUAGGUGGCUCAGUGCUGCGGCUAACAAUUAUUUCCAUAAUUGUUCAUUUGAUUUACAGAUAUAUCAUUUACAUUUCUAGAUUUUUUGGGUUGUAGAUGUUUUAUUUUGUACCACGCAACCCACGCUUAUUAAAGUGUUAUAAAUCGAGAAAAGUACUAAAUUCUCAUGAAAACGGUGAAUGAUUGAAUUUUUUAUUUCUUUUUUUAAUCCUUGAUUUGAUUUUUAAUCUGAAAUAGUAAAAAUCUAAAUGCUGUUUUUUUUUUUUUUCAUAAUUCAUUUAUUGAUUGAUUAACACAUUUUUAAACAGGUUAUUUCCUGUCUCGGUGUCCACCUUGUUGUCUCCCUCGAAAUGUAUAUUUCUCUUUCGCGUUGCGGCCAUUUUCCUCUGCGCGUGUAUUUACGUGUGUGUGUGUGUGUGUGUGUUUGUGUGUAUGUGUUUGGUCUGCCAGAGCAUGUGUCUCCCCGCAGAGCGGUGACAGCCCCCCCUGCUCCCCAUCCCUCCCUCCCUCCCUCCCUCCUCCUCCUCUUUCUCUGUUCCAGCCAGCCGACGCUCUAAUUGAAAAGGGAGUGAGUGUCAGCCGUUAAGUGUGUGCGUUUGUGUGUGUGUGUGUGCGUGCCUGCAUGCGUGCGCACCCAUCUUCACGCUUUGUGGCUCUAUGUUUCUGUCGCUCAAACUCCCAUGAGCGCUCUCCUCCACAGCGCGAGUGUGAAUUUGUUUGUGUGUGUGUGUGUGAGUGUGUGAGAUAUUCUCUCAUUUUCCGUGCCUAGCGCGGAGCUUUUCUGUGACACACGCACAUAUUCUAAAAAAAAAAAAAAAAAAGUAUGCGCUCAGUGGGCGGAAGAGAACGCUUCAGCAAGUUAGCUGCAACUCUGUUUCGUAUCCUGUAGAUGUGAUUAGGUGUGCACCCCCCCCCUACCCUUCUGUGUAUGAGGACUUGGGCCGGUAAAUUGAGGUCCCCCCCCUCCCCACCCAUGGGAGUUUCCCUGCAUUGAUUAGCAAUAAGCCAGACGAUAUAAUAGUGUUAUAACUCAGAAAGAGACGGCUUUAUGGGCGCAGGAAGGGGGCAGCUAGGGGGCCAAAAUCGGCUUGCUUCAGAGCCUUGUCACCUGCAUAUCCUCUCAUGGGUCCAUAGGGACUUGGUUGGAGGAGGAUGUGUCUGCGUUUUAGUGUGUUGCCGGUCACACAUAAUGCAAAGGAAAAAAAAAGCAACCCAACCCUUAAUGGGUUAGAGCGAAGCCAAGCGAAGUCGUGGCAUCAUGUAUUAAAUGUGCGUAGAUAAGCUGUAUGUUUUAGGGCAGGCGGGUAUGUGGCUUUGCAUGCAUGCACAAUUACCCUGAACCCAACCAACACCCCCCCCCCCCCCCCCCCCACACACACACACACACACACACACACACACACACACACACACACACACCCAUGAAAAGUGAAGGCACAGCGUGAUGGUUUAUAAAUGAACAAAUCGCCAGAGGAGAUGGAGGAACGGAGGC